AACGGCCAUACCAUGCUGAAUAUACCGGUUCUCGUUAGAUCACCGAAGUCAAGCAUCAUUGGGCGCGGUCAGUACUUGGGUGGGUGACCACCUGGGUACACCGCGUGCCGUU
Molecule: ribosomal RNA, 112 nt
Filed under: Caerostris darwini
Lineage: Eukaryota; Metazoa; Arthropoda; Arachnida; Araneae; Araneidae
Source: RNAcentral